This 499-nucleotide ribosomal RNA is filed under the name uncultured bacterium. Its description in RNAcentral is "partial 16S ribosomal RNA". It matches the Rfam family "Bacterial small subunit ribosomal RNA", at positions 28 to 507 of the family's 1533-position model. The record is from RNAcentral.
GACGAACGCUGGCGGCGUGCUUAACACAUGCAAGUCGAACGGGCCCGCUCUCUUUUUUGGGGGUGGGUUGAGUGGCGAACGGGUGAGUAUCACGUGAGUAACCUGCCCCCUGCUCCUGGAUAACUGCUUGAAAGGGCGGCUAAUACGGGGUGUGCCGGCUGGUCCGCAUGGGCCUGGUCGGGAUAGUUUCAUCUUCGGGUGUUUCGGUGGGGGAUGGGCUCGCGGCCUAUCAGCUUGUUGGUGGGGUGAUGGCCCACCAAGGCGGUGACGGGUAGCCGGCCUGAGAGGGUGGGCGGCCACACUGGGACUGAGACACGGCCCAGACUCCUGCGGGAGGCAGCAGUGGGGGGUAUUGCACAAUGGGCGGAAGCCUGAUGCAGCGACGUCGCGUGAGGGAUGGAGGCCUUCGGGUUGUGAACCUCUUUCUCCGGUGGUGAAGGCCCUGUCCGUUGCGGCGGGGUUGACGGUAGCCGGGCAUGAAGCGCCGGCUAACUACGUG